RNAcentral lists this transfer RNA (76 nucleotides) under Candidatus Terrybacteria bacterium RIFCSPLOWO2_01_FULL_40_23. Its description in RNAcentral is "tRNA-Ile". It matches the Rfam family "tRNA". From Rfam's summary of the family: Transfer RNA (tRNA) molecules are approximately 80 nucleotides in length. Their secondary structure includes four short double-helical elements and three loops (D, anti-codon, and T loops). The record is from RNAcentral. Lineage: Bacteria; Candidatus Terryibacteriota.
GCGCCUAUAGCUCAAUUGGCAGAGCACAGAGCUUAUACCUCUGGGGUUCUAGGUUCGAGUCCUAGUGGGCGCACAA